CCUACGGGCGGCAGCAGUGGGGAAUAUUGCACAAUGGGGGAAACCCUGAUGCAGCGACGCCGCGUGUGUGAAGAAGUAAUUCGGUAUGUAAAGCUCUAUCAGCCGGGAAGAAAAUGACGGUAUCUGAGUAAGAAGCCCCGGCUAACUACGUGCCAGCAGCCGCGGUAAUACGUAGGGGGAAAGCGUUAUCCGGAUUUAAUGGGGGUAAAGGGAGUGUAGACGGCAGUGCGAGUCUGGAGUGAAAGGCGGGGGCUUAACCCCCGGACUGCUCUGGAAACUGUACGGCUGGAGUGCAGUAGAGGGGAGUAGAAUUCCUGGUGUAGCGGUGAAAUGCGUAGAGAUUAGGAGGAAUACCAGUGGCGAAGGCGGCUUACUGGACUAUGACUGACGUUGAGGUUCGAAAGCGUGGGGAGCAAACAGGAGUAGAUACCCCGGUAGUC
Molecule: ribosomal RNA, 440 nt
Filed under: uncultured bacterium
Lineage: Bacteria
Description: partial 16S ribosomal RNA
Rfam family: Bacterial small subunit ribosomal RNA
Source: RNAcentral